RNAcentral lists this ribosomal RNA (479 nucleotides) under Salmonella enterica subsp. enterica serovar Infantis. Its description in RNAcentral is "partial 23S ribosomal RNA". It matches the Rfam family "Bacterial large subunit ribosomal RNA", at positions 1256 to 1735 of the family's 2925-position model. The record is from RNAcentral. Lineage: Bacteria; Pseudomonadati; Pseudomonadota; Gammaproteobacteria; Enterobacterales; Enterobacteriaceae.
GUGGCCUGUGAGGGUUGCUGGAGGUAUCAGAAGUGCGAAUGCUGACAUAAGUAACGAUAAAGCGGGUGAAAAGCCCGCUCGCCGGAAGACCAAGGGUUCCUGUCCAACGUUAAUCGGGGCAGGGUGAGUCGACCCCUAAGGCGAGGCCGAAAGGCGUAGUCGAUGGGAAACGGGUUAAUAUUCCCGUACUUGGUGUUACUGCGAAGGGGGGACGGAGAAGGCUAUGUUGGCCGGGCGACGGUUGUCCCGGUUUAAGCGUGUAGGUGUGUGUUCCAGGUAAAUCCGGUUCACUUUAACACUGAGGCGUGAUGACGAGGCACUACGGUGCUGAAGCAACAAAUGCCCUGCUUCCAGGAAAAGCCUCUAAGCAUCAGGUAACAUCAAAUCGUACCCCAAACCGACACAGGUGGUCAGGUAGAGAAUACCAAGGCGCUUGAGAGAACUCGGGUGAAGGAACUAGGCAAAAUGGUGCCGUAACU